Molecule: long non-coding RNA, 3218 nt
Organism: Phocoena sinus (vaquita)
Lineage: Eukaryota; Metazoa; Chordata; Mammalia; Artiodactyla; Phocoenidae
Source: Ensembl
AAGAUUCCCAGGGAGAAGACAGACCUGGGACAAAUCCGUCUCUCACAGCCCUCAGAGGAACCAACCCUGCUUCAUCUUGGACUUGUAGCCUCUAGAAUUGUCCAUACCAGUUCGUACUUUGUUACAGCAUUUCUAGCAAACUAUGACACACAGAUUGUAAAUUGUUAUAUCUACUCUUUUUUCCUAUUUAAACUUUUUAUUUAAUGGAUGUGAAGAAAUUAUUUAAUAAAUGGAAAACUUCAAACAUACACCAGACUAGACAGAGGCUAUAAUGAAUUCCCAGGAACGAACGUACCUUUCACCCACCCAUUGACUCGGAUUGGGGCCAUCUUUUUUCAUAAUACCCCCAUCAGUUUCUCUACCCUCAUACUAUUCUGAACCAAAUUCCAGUCAUUGUUAAAUAGGUCACUAUCUCUGAGAGAUAAACACAACUUUUAAAAACAGAGCCCUUAUCACUUUCUCCUGGGAGAACUAGAUCAUGCUUCCCUAAUAUGGUCAAUUGUCAGUGUUCAGAUUUCCAAUCGUCUCAGUGUCAUAAUUUUUUUAAGGUUUUUGAAUCAUGAUUCAAAUUAACACCUGUACAUUGCAGUUGGUUGGUCUUUUAAAAUCUCUUAGUUCCUUCUCCAUCUCUCUUUCUCUCUCCUUGUAAUUCAUCAGGGUUUUCUCCUUGAGUGUUUUUCGUAGCCUAAAUUUUGCUGAUUAUGUUCUUGUUGUGAAAUUUAAUAUGUUCCGCUAUUCUCUUUAUUUCCUGUUAAUUGGUAUUUAGAUCUAGAGGCUUGGUCAGAUGCAGGUUUGAUAUUUUGUUACUAUUGGAUUGUUUGUUUUGGGUAGUACUGUGUAGUGGGUGGUGGUGUGUAUUUCCAUCUGGAGGCAGGUAAUGUCAGGUUGUCUGUCUUUUUGCAUUAUUAGCUGUCGAUACAAGUGUCCUGUCAUGAAAUAUUUUUCUUUUGGGUUUUUUUUUAAACAGCUAUUUAAGAAUGUAAGCACUAUUCUUAGCCAGCACGCCAUACCAAAACCAACAGUGGGCAGUCUUUCCCCACAGGCCGUUGUUUCCUGAGCCCUGUUCUAGGGUCUGUAUAUCUUGGACAUAAGAGGAAAUAUCUAUUUGGUCUUUGUCCCCUCCUCUGGCACGGAGCUCCUGAAACCCUUGGAAGUUCCUGAGUGAUGGGGUGACAGGAGCACCUCUUGUUAUUAAUAACAAGCGCCUUCCAACCACACCUGAAUUUAUGCUAUUGAAGUGACUCUUGGCCCCUAAGUACCUUCAGGAUGGGGGCCGGUGGCCAGAGGAACCAACCAUGUGAUUAAAGGGUUUGAAGUUUCAGUCUUACCCUUUACGACUUGAACCACUGGCUAACCAGAUAGUAAAUAUGGGGAAAUUUUCUUUGUAAACUGAUAUCAGUAUAUCAGCUGGUAACCAAAGAGGGAAUGACAAAGUUAGAAUAUCAGCGUUUUGCAAUCCCUCAUGGAUCUAGACAUUGAUCAUCAUUUCUUUUUAUCUGUGAACCUUUAAAAUUUUUAAUUUAAUCUGAAAAAGGAUUCACAGGUGACUCUUCAGUUAAUUACGCAUGUGCUCAAGUUUUAAUCAUGGUUCUAGGCAGGGAUUUAUAAUGGUUGAAUUAAUAAUCGGAUAGCAUUCCUCACUUACUCUGCGUCAUUACUGAGAAAUUGUGUUCCCCAGAUUACCUGUUGAUAAAACAGAUAAGAUGCACCUACCUCUCAGAGUUUCUUAGGUUUUCUGCUUAUUGAAUCAAGUGCUAGGUAUCUAUUAAAAUGGUUUGGAAACUAAAAUGAAAACUCAUAGACUGUACCUUGGAGAUACCAUGUGUUUUUGCAUCGGUGUCUUGGGGAGGUGUACGAAGUACCCCAAACCUCUAAUUAUCCUUGUUCUCAGUUUGUAAUCUGCGAGGCAGCCUCAGUGUGUGGAGAGACUCCUGUCAUUAUUGAUGUUUUUCUGUAGGCAAUGAUUGGUUUGACUUAACACGUCUCUGAAUGCUGCAGACUUGAGAGUGUCAAAAGAAAACUGUCUUUCUUCAUAGUUUCCGGCUGUCGCAAUCAGGAACCUUCCAGGGUCCUGGGUUGUAGUUUGACCACUGGGGCCACGGGGAUUUUAGUGUAGUUCCUCAGGUCUAGAAUUUACUUCCUCUCUGAGGUUUAUGCAAACCCAUCUCACCUUCCAGCCUAUAGGAGGCUGGUUUGAUUUCUUCAUUUUAUACAAGUUUUUCUUUAUUGUAUGGAAGUGUUCCUCUGUUGGUAUACAGUUUUUUUUUUUUUUUUAAAGCAUAGGACUUUGGGCUGAUCAAAAGAAAAAUACAGUAAAUAAAAUAGUUUCUAGGAAUGGUAAAACUGUAAAAAUGUCUACUAGAGGCUAUCUAGUAAAUAUCUCAGGUAGUGAUUUAGAAUCUUUUCAGUGGGCCUGGUAGACAUUGAGGUGGAGUAGACUUGUAUGCCUUGAGGAAAUCUGAGUCCAGGAGAGCAGAGGCCCCUGCAGUGUCUUAACAGAAAUAAAUAUGUUAUCAAGGUCAGGCAAAACUCCACAUAACUAGUUAUUUUUAACACGGGUAUGACUUUUCAUGCCUGCCUGAUGACUCACAGAAGACAGUUUUAUGGAUCAGAUAUUGCGCUGGCCCUCAGGCAGUUUUGAUCAAAUUUUAUGAUAGGGUGUAAUGAUAAAUUAUAGAUGAAAAGAGAGAAAAAAGUUGUUUACUAUUCAUCCUCUGGAGUUUGGAGAAGUAUGAACUGUCUUAAUUACAGUGAGAGGUUUCCUUCGAAGCACUUAGGCUGUUUUUAAAUGUUAAAAACAAUGAGGCAAAUCAAUGUGGUAUCAAGGGACUUGUACCCAGCACCCCUGAACCCAGAGUCUGGCCUAGACGCUUUCCCGCCUCGUGUCCUUAGGCACAUCGGUGUCCUCGUCUGUGACAUGGAGCUGGCAUUGUGACGAUCAAAUGAAAUAAUACUAUAUUUUAUCAAAUCUCAGACAUGACCGAUAAUGACACACCCUUAUUUUUGUGCCAUUAAGAAAGAAGAGGGGGCUUCCCUGGUGGUGCAGUGGUUGAGAGUCCGUCUGCCGAUGCAGGGGACACGGGUUCGUGCCCUGGUCCGGGAAGAUCCCACAUGCCGCGGAUCGUCUGGGCCCGUGAGCCGUGGCCGCUGAGCCUGCACAUCCGGAGCCUGUGCUCCGCCACGGGAGAGGCCACAACAGUGAGAGGCCCACGUACCAC